UGGUUGUGCUGUGAGGAGGAAGGGACAGGGGACAGGAGGUUGUGCAAGGGACAGAAAGGGGAAGGCAGCUGUGCUAGGGAUAGGAAGGAGUGAGCUGGAAAUGCAGAAGGAAGGAAGAAAGAAGGGGGAGUGAAAGAGCCAGAGCUGUGUGGAUUUACUCAUGGGACUACAACUGAGAAAAGCUCUGCUCAGUCUCUGUUCCAGCUCAGCCUUCCCAAAGCAUCACACGUGUGGCAUCCUCUGUUCAGCUGCGUUUACUGGAGUGCAGUGAUGCUCUUUGGAUCCACUUCAGGGCUCUCCAAAGUGCCACAUCUCUGCUGUGCCUGUUCCCUGGGGAUUUCGGGUUUGCCCUCUUGCAAUCUGCCCUGCACAGCUCAGUGCCUGCGUAUCAAGUGCCUUUCCCUUGCUCCUGUCAUGCUGGAGGUGAGCUCUGCUGUUAAUUAAGCAUGGAUCAAUGCAGAAUUCCCUCAUCAUCACCCUGUACAUUUCGACAUGAGGACAAUUUCUGGUUCGAUUUGCCAUCAGCUCCUGCAGCUCAAACCGCUCCAAAGGGAUGUGUAAUGAGGAGCUGGAUCCCACUGCUUCGACUCUGAGGUUACUCAAGGAUAUUGUAGAGAGUCCUGUUCAGAGCCAGAGUUCCCCCUAAUAAAUUUUAGAGACAAGGAGCUGAGUCUCUCCUGGAGAAGAUGCUGAGAAGAUUCCUCAGAGAAGGAGAACAUUGCAGGACAUUUCCAGAGCUCCUUUUACCUCUGCCCAGCUGUGAUUCCCAGGAUUCACUGUGAAAUUUCAGGCCGUGGGAAGGAGAAACAUCCACUUUGGAAAACCAUUCUCCCCUUGGCAACAUCACAGCACAAAAAUGGCACCGAGAGCACGAGCAGGAUGUGGGUUUGAGCUCUUUAUCGAGAAGACAUUUCAAGGCAAGUACUAUCAAGGAGGUUUCCAAAACACUUGAGGGGAAUUAAGACAGCUUCUCGAAGGUAUUUUGUUUGUCGCUUUGUAGCUGUAGGAUUUGAGUUGCCCAUCAUCUUUAAAUAUAGACCAAAAUUCUUUACAAUUCUGGUGUUUAUCAGCAAGACUUGAGAUCUAGUGGUCAUACACCGAAUAUUUGCCAUCCAGGAGAGAUAUCACAAAUACCUGUGCUUAUAAAGGGCUCGCAAAGAUUGGUAGGGGGAUCCAUGUUUUUGGAAAUGGACCUACACUGCCAUGGGUUAAAUGGGAAAGGAAGCAAAUAUUGAGGAGUAAAUAGAGCUGUGAUAAUUUAUUACAAGAGAUUUUUUUCUAUAUACAUAAUAGCAUGCUGUAAAGCAAUAGAUCAUGUGAGAUGAAGCCAUAGCAUGACAAGAUGGAUCAUUUAAGAUAUUAAAUGGUGUUUUUCUGUGUGCUGUUGCUAUCCAAAGUCUAUUAAAAAAGUAUCGGACAGGGUAUUUUUUCCCAUCAUUCUUGCAUGCUUAGGCCUGGCUUAGUAAAUACAUUGCAUCAUUAGCUCCUGCCUGUGUUCAGCUUUUAGAACAGUUUACAGUUCUGAAACCACUUCAUUGAAAAUUGUCAUUUUAUUGGUGUGUAUUAGGGAAAAAAAAAUCAUUUGGGAACAAAGGAGAGGAGUGUCAUGCUGUGUUGUAGGAUCCAUACCCAGAUCUAGCUGGAAAAUGGCAUUGCUUGAGUACAGCAUUUUUGUGUUUCUGAGGAGCAUUACGAGAGGCUGGAUUGUCUUCCAGUGAGGAAUUAACUACUAGCCAGUGUUGAAAGAAGGAUAUAGGAUUUCAUGGACCAGCGGGCUAAUACGAUGUGAAAUCCUAUUUUCCUAUCAUCCAAGUGUCUACAGAAUUCCAAGUUAAUGUACUUUAUAUUAUAUCGUUGCCACCUGUUUAUAUUAUCGGUAGUUUGAAUAUUUAAGCAUGACACACUCCAUUUCCUACCAGUUUGCCUGUAUUUCCAGAAUGGAUUCUCCCAGUGUUUCCACACUUAGUUUUUGGUCUCCUUUUUCCCCUUCAAAAUGAGUAUUGUGGCCUAGCAUGACUCGUUUAAAUUUUCAUUAAGAAAUUAUAUAGUUCACAGCACGGAUUUAAUUGAUCACACCCUUACCUGGUGUAAAUCAACCCAAGCAGCAUUAAUCCUAACAAGGUUUCUCACCAGCUGAGGAUCUGCUCCGGUGGAUUUUUUGUGCUCUCAAAGCUGAGGAAGAGCAAAUCAUCAAAAAAACCCCCAUCUUUGAAGAUGGGCUCCCUUCUGGCCGAAAAUCACAUUUCGCCAUCGUGCGCACAUUGAGGGAACAUCGUAAAUCUCACAAUUAUUCCAAUUGAAGUCAAACAACAGGAAUAAAUUAGAGAAGAGUGGAGAGCCCUUUCUUUGGAGAGCUACAGAUGAGAUCCAUACCAAAGACAGUAUUUAUUAGAGACAGAAUGAGAUUUUUAUAACAGCCCUGCAAAAUUAGUUUUUAGAAGUUCCCACUUCCCAUCGGCAGCCAAGGGAUGAGGGGACUUCAUAUUGUGGUACCAGGAGCAGCCUGAUGUGAAAACACAGCUCUGUCUCCACGGGAGUGACAAGGCACUGCUGAGGGUUGAUGUCACCAGUAUUUGCACUUCCUCUGUGAGGGACAAAUGUCACGGAAACAGAUCUGGCCCUGGAGAAGAGUGGCAUCACUCAGCUUAUCCUUAGGACAAGGAGAGCUGGAAGUCUGAAUUGACUUUUUGGUCUCAACUCCGAGAGUGAAUCCACGGCUCCGUUGCUCGGAAGGGAGCACAAGCUUUUCCUGACGGGGCAGCAAGAGAUUCCCAGAAGAAGGAAUUCACAAUUCCCACCCACGCUGGGAGCACCUCACGUCCCUUCCCUGUGUGCACAGGAGAAUGAACAACUGGGAGAGGAACACCGGGAGCUAAGGGAUCCUGUUCAGAACUUUAGGAGCACAUGGUUCCUUCUCCAAGGUCCUUCUGGUCUAAAAGGAGAAUUAAGAGCUCUCGUUGGAGCAGCUGUAGACUGGAGUCUUGCAUCCCCUGAUUGGUGCAGGUGUCUUGCUGACCCAAGGACUGGCUGAUUGUCAGCAGAGCAGCAGGACAUUCAUCCCAUGCCUUACAGGCAGAUUCUUGGGAAGGCUCAGGUCACUCUGAGUGACACGAACGGCGAGGAGAUCACGAAACACCGCACAUCUUAAAACACCUCCUUGUCUUGUGCACAGCUCUGCCUCCCCAGCCCUUGGUACUUUUUCUAAAUAUCUAUUUAAUGUCAGCUUCAUUUGUUUUAAUUCACUCCAAUAUUCCAGACCAGCAGCAGCUGAAACACCUAUUUCUGCAAUUAGUGCAAUCUUGCUCCUGCAUGAUAAUCUUUUCUCCAAGCUGCUGCCAGCUCUGAGAAGUGCACUUAGAAGAGAACUUGACUCUCAGUUGACUUCAGGAUAACUGGAAGUGAUGUAACCUUCAGGAGCAAAUGCUGGUGGAAAAAACAUCAUGUAAUUUAAUUUCCAGGUGGAGGGGCAGACAGUAGAAUUCCAGAUUUCACCUUUUCUGCACUGAAAUUCGAGGUUUGAGCACUAUUCAGUAAUAAAAAGCUGUCUGCUCAUCACAGGGCUUUGUUCUCUCACUGUGCCAAGGUGACCCAAUGUUUUUUCUUGUGAACUCAGGAGUUAUGAAGAACUCAGGCUCUUAACUGAUCACACCAAACCUUUGAACCAUCUCCAGACUGAGAACACUGCUCGUGCGUCCUGUAGGGAAGGACAAUUUUGCAAAGGAAAAAUCUUCUCUGGGUUUUGUUUUGUGCCCCCAGGACAACUCUGACACUGAGAUCUAUUCUGAAGGUCUGAUCAAUGUGGAUUGAUUUAUUUGGGAAGCUCCCACAGUGACUUUGCCCACGGAGCCAGGUCUGCUGUUCAUGAGACUCCUUCCACAAGAAAGGGCUUUUGGUUUUAUCCACCUCAAGCGAUGCAGGGCAGCACAAAGGAAGAAUCCAGCUUGACAUCCAAGGAAUUGGUGUCAGCUAAAAAUCUGAGACGAUUUCACAGACCAGGAUGUGUGGUUGUGGUGCUUCCAGAAGAAAUGAUGUGCUCGUGUGUCCCUGCAGCAUCACUCACAGCCUGGCCAGCCCUGGCACAGUGACACAUCUCGUGGGUUGGUGUCAUCCCCACUCUCCCAGCGUGUGAGCUCUGCUGGUUGAAUUCCGAGUUUUCACAGACACAUAAAUAAACGUCGGUGCCUGGUGUCAGUCCAGCAGCAGCCAGACCAUACUGGUGGUGCCACUGCCAUGGAGGAGCUCUGGCACCGGGAGAGGGCAUCACAAGCCCUGAACCUCUCCCAGUGUGGCCCAGGGCUGGGAUUUCCUGCAAGCCAAAGGUUUCUCUUCCUUCAUUCCCAUGUCCAGCACUACCUCACAAUCUGACUUGGGAACUCUGGGGUUCUGAUGCCUUGGGAAGGCUGAGCUGGAACAGAGACGGACAGAGCUGGAGAAUAAAGCAGAGAUUUAUUGAAAGGCCUCCAGGAUCCACCUUGGGCAGGACAAGAGCCUGGCCAGGGCUGCACCCAAGGUGGAACCAAAAUGGUCCCAAAAUGGACCAAGGGUCACGAGGUCUCACACUUGGAUCAGUUUUGGUCCAUUUGCACUUUGGGGUUGAAUUGUCCCCUUCCAGCUGCAGGCUGUGAGGUCCCAUCCUUCUUGUUCCUCCCUCCAGCCACCCUUGUUUGUGCUUUUGGGGCUGAAAGUUGUCCUUGGUGUGCAGCAGGAACAGGAUUUGUUUUGUGUCCCUGUGAUAUUGAAUGUGAGCUCAGAGCUGCACCCCUGAGGGAGUGAGAUUUUCCUGCAGGUGUUACUGAGUUGACAAACACUCCUCCAGAGGCUGCCAUCCCAGGCUGGCACCACCCAGAGCAGGGAUCAGCAGAGAGCUGAAGAGCUGCCCGAGAGAAGCAAACCACGGACAAUCCUGCACAAAGGUGUGAGCGUCAUUAGGGAAACAGCGUCAGGGAAUUUGCCUGUCCUCUUUUCUCCUGCCCAGACUGUGUGAAUUAGCUCGCGGUGGUUUUUUGUUCUCUGCUCAAGUCUUGCAAUCUGAUUUACAGCCCUCGAACAGGCUGAGGAAAACUGAAUAAAGAGGGAGGGAGCAGCGAGCGAAUGGAGGACGGAGAAGCAGAGAGGAGCUGCUCCAUGGAUGGACUGCAGAGAAGGUGGGAUAGAAAGCCCCUGGAGAAUUUAAUCAUCUCUUGCCCUUUUUGCAACCAGACACAUUUUCCUGGCCUGUUCACACCAGUCCAUGUGUCUGCCAGCUGCCUCUUGCAGGCUCUGAAAGAGGGCAUUGAGCCUCUCUGAGAAAAUGCCUUGGCUCACGGGCUCAGAGCAUCAGACUGGCUCCACACAGGGCUGGAGCUCCAAAAAAACCGGUCUGGUGUGCCAAGCAAGGAACUGGGAGCAGAGGUUUGGAGGAUUCGUGUUAUCCCAGGUGAAAUAAUGCAUCAUUAUCUCCAGCCUUGGAACACUGAGAGCUGUUGAAUUUCCUCAGGUGUCCUUCCCCAGAUCACCACUGUCAUCCUUGGCACGUGUUUAUAUCCUCAUGUCUUUGAUCCUGCGACUUCAGGAAACGCAUGAAAUGAAAUCUGAGAAAAUGAAAUAAAUUGCAGAAGCACAAGGAAUGUCCUAACAAAAGGUGCACCGGGUGAAAUUGGGUGUGAUGAGGCGUCCCCUCAGGCAAAUCCUCGGGUAUUCCCUCAGCAGGGUGAUGCUGCCUGCAGGUGGGGACAGAAAUUCACACCAGCAGGCUUUCCUGUGGAUGUGGCCAUCCUGGGAACGCCUCUGUGGCAGCGCUUUUGGCUCUCUGUGCUUAUUUAAUCUGUCUCCAAAACAGCGUCCUCCUCUUUAUUCAGCUUGGAAGCUGCACGGAGGGGUUCCCUGUCUACCUGCCCUCCUCGCACAGCCAGCGUUCAGGAGCUCAGCAGCCCUUGGACAGCUUGUUUCCAUAACAACAGAGGAGGAAAAACCUGACGAGUCCCUCGGUAACUGCAUGCGGGGCUGCCUGGAGCAGCCCCCCGAACCCCCAGAAAAUUCCCUUUUCCUCCCACCAGCCUCUCCUCCCACCUCCCUUGAGGGAAACUGAAAUUCUGUCGAGGUGGGAGCUGGGAUGAGCAGCUCAGCUCUGACCCUCACGCUGGCAUCGUGGGACCACGGGACGGAAGCACAGCCUGGUGAGAAACCCUCCUCAGCCCAUGGAGCACACACCUGUGCUGCCAGCAUUCCCAUUCCACCGCCGCUGUUGGCACCAGCCCCUGCCUGGUCUCUGCAGUUUUGGAUCUUGUCUCAGGAGUGAGCACACAGCCCACGCAACACUGAACUCGUGGUCAUCACUGCAACAGAAAUAAUAACAAUAAUAAUAGAUUAUCCUGCAGGCAAAACAGACCCUGUGCAAAUUGGACAGCCAAGAUUCCGCCCUAGCCGCUGGACCUGAAGGCAGUUUGGUGUUUUUCUCCUGGUUCAGAAGUGACUUGUUCCCCUAACGGGCAGGGGGCUCAUCCUGACCAGCGGAUCCCAGUUUCACAGGGCUGUCACUCCCCUGCCCAGCAGCAUCACUCCUGAUUUAUCCCAGCACCCAGGACACGCUCCUCUCUCACUCUGUUGUCCUUUUUUUAUUAAUCCCAGCUUGUCUCUGCCCUCUCUGGCACUCAUAACUCCAGAGGCACGAGUGAGAGCACUUACUCAGCACAGGUGAAAAGGCAGCUGCCAAUUAAAUCCCUGCACUUCAUUGUCAUUCCCAGGCCAGGCGGAGCCCUGGAGUGGGAGCAAUCCAUUUAUCCUCUCCUUGGGUCACACUCCAAGCCAAUAACCUCAUCAGUGUAAACACCCUUAAGCUUCCUUAUCCUCUCCAUCACACUUGAAGCCGUAUUUCACUUUCUCUCGCCUUCUGCGCGCUGAACUUGCAAUUUCCCCACGGCCUUGCCCGACUUCUCCCACCGACUCUGCAGUCACCCCACAGCAUGAGUGGGAAUCUCUGGCUUCCCACUUUUCCACCCAGUUACCUCCUUUUCUUUGGUGGAGCAAAAAUAGGUUUUUUGGGUGGCACAUAAGCUAAGGUUCCCUGGUCAUGAAGGGAACUAAUGAUUAGGACAAAGACAAAUAUUUAUCUUGAAGGAUAAAUACUGGCCAUAAAACUGUAGGGAAAAUAUUGUAUUUCACCUCUUCCUAUGUCAUGAUCUGUUUCUAAUGAGCUAAUACACAAUUUAUUUUAAAAAGAAAAGAGUUUCUAUCUAAAAUGACUCGAUUUUGAGCUACAUUGGUCAAUUAAUAUGUUAGGAACCAUCACAGGUGCCCCAU
This is a long non-coding RNA of Hirundo rustica (Barn swallow), 7278 nucleotides long. RefSeq lists it as uncharacterized. Lineage: Eukaryota; Metazoa; Chordata; Aves; Passeriformes; Hirundinidae. The transcript is spliced from 16 exons. The record is from RefSeq and is a predicted model, not a curated record.